UGUCGGUCCCCCCGCAGCGAACUGUUGUGAACCCCGUCAGGCCCGGAAGGGAGCAGCGGUAACAGCAGCGUCGGGUGCCGGGGUGUGGCUGGCGCGG
RNAcentral lists this signal recognition particle RNA (97 nucleotides) under Chromatiales bacterium. RNAcentral's name for it is "signal recognition particle sRNA small type". It matches the Rfam family "Bacterial small signal recognition particle RNA". From Rfam's summary of the family: The signal recognition particle (SRP) is a universally conserved ribonucleoprotein involved in the co-translational targeting of proteins to membranes. Archaeal SRP consists of a 7S RNA and homologues of the eukaryotic SRP19 and SRP54 proteins. In most bacteria, the SRP consists of a 4.5S RNA and the Ffh protein (a homologue of the eukaryotic SRP54 protein). Lineage: Bacteria; Pseudomonadati; Pseudomonadota; Gammaproteobacteria; Chromatiales. The record is from RNAcentral.